UGAUCAAAAUUAUAUCAGAUAAAAUCUUCUGAUACUUAAAUUAGUAGAAAAUGAUGAACAGCAAAUAGAAUAUUCAAAAUGAUCAAAUAUCAGUCCAGAAUUAUCUUAUUCAAUACUAUUCAUUUACCUCCUUUUAUAGACGAAUACCAUCUGUAAUGAUUAGAUAUGUAGGUCCCACAUAUUCCGACAUUAUAUGAUCGUAAGAUGGGUAGUUAUAUCCACCACUGAUCAUGUUUUGACCAUUAUAUGCUUUCUGCGCUGGCGAUUUCAAGUAAGCCAACUAUAUAUCUAUAAUAACAAUACAUCGAUCAUAUGUCAAUAGUAGAUGU
Molecule: long non-coding RNA, 329 nt
Filed under: Elaeis guineensis (African oil palm)
Lineage: Eukaryota; Viridiplantae; Streptophyta; Magnoliopsida; Arecales; Arecaceae
Description: long non-coding RNA (EGUI_LNC014725)
Source: RNAcentral